AUACGGAGGAUCCAAGCGUUAUACGGAAUCAUUGGGUUUAAAGGGUCCGUAGGCGGGUUUGUAAGUCAGUGGUGAAAGUUUUCGGCUCAACCGGAAAAUUGCCAUUGAUACUGCAAGUCUUGAAUCAUUAUGAAGUGGUUAGAAUGUGUAGUGUAGCGGUGAAAUGCAUAGAUAUUACACAGAAUACCGAUUGCGAAGGCAGAUCACUAAUAAUGUAUUGACGCUAAGGGACGAAAGCGUGGGUAGCGAACAGGAGUAGAAACCCCGGUAGUCC
RNAcentral lists this ribosomal RNA (274 nucleotides) under uncultured bacterium. RNAcentral's name for it is "partial 16S ribosomal RNA". It matches the Rfam family "Bacterial small subunit ribosomal RNA", at positions 523 to 796 of the family's 1533-position model. The record is from RNAcentral.